Molecule: long non-coding RNA, 711 nt
Organism: Helianthus annuus (common sunflower)
Lineage: Eukaryota; Viridiplantae; Streptophyta; Magnoliopsida; Asterales; Asteraceae
Exons: 2
Source: RefSeq, a predicted model, not a curated record
CCAUAUAUCUCGAUUCCUGUAACCACCUCCACGACAACCUACCACCACUCAUUUCCACUUCAGCCACCCUCACUCUCUCAUCCCUCCAUCUCCAAGAACCCAAAUCAUCCCUAAUCUCCUCCUUCACUUUCAAACCAAACUCCAAAACCAAAUGUCUUGUUCUACAAUCCCAUUCAGUCAAACGAAACUCCAAAACCAAAUGUCUUGUUCCACAAUCCCAUUCAGAAUGCAUCAGACCCACCAUUUUCAAGCCAAAAAAUUCCCCCUUUUUGGUCUCUGCAGUGGCCGCUGAAGCUGAGGUAGGUGAAGAUGUUAAUGAGGAUGUUUCCGGUGGCGGUGGUGGUGUUGUUACGGUGGCUCCGCCGGUAGCCACUAAACCUAAGAAGGGGAAGCUGCUUUGCGUCUUAAGAGGGACAGGUUCCUGCUAACCCAGUUAAGUAUAUGCGACUUUGAUUUUGGUUAAUUUCAUGAGUUUUGCUUCCUAGUUCAUGGAUUUUAUUAAAAACAGGUUGAUGGGAUCUUGCCAAUUUUUUGGUGUUUAAGACAUUGAAAUGAAGAAUCUGGACAUUUUACUUGAUUUUACUACCAACAUAUUUUUAGAGGGUCCCUUAUUCUACAGAUUUUUAGAUACAGUGCCUUGUUGUUGUGUUUAAAAAUGAGGAAAUUAUGUAUUCUAAAGCUAAUUCUGAGGUACCCAUUUAGUAAUUUUUG